RNAcentral lists this ribosomal RNA (207 nucleotides) under uncultured bacterium. RNAcentral's name for it is "partial 16S ribosomal RNA". It matches the Rfam family "Bacterial small subunit ribosomal RNA", at positions 568 to 774 of the family's 1533-position model. The record is from RNAcentral.
UGCGUAGGCGGUCCAUUAAGUCAGUGGUGAAAUACGGCAGCUCAACUGUCGAGGUGCCAUUGAUACUGAAGGACUUGAGUACAGUCGAGGUAGGCGGAAUUGACGGUGUAGCGGUGAAAUGCUUAGAUAUCGUCAAGAACACCGAUAGCGAAGGCAGCUUGCUAGGCUGUAACUGACGCUGAGGCACGAAGGUGCGGGGAUCAAACA